Molecule: long non-coding RNA, 549 nt
Filed under: Equus caballus (horse)
Lineage: Eukaryota; Metazoa; Chordata; Mammalia; Perissodactyla; Equidae
Description: lncRNA (ENSECAG00000059370.1)
Source: RNAcentral
CUAAAUACUACAAUUUCAGCUGUAAUUCUUUAAUGCCUGCAAAUCAUUAGGCUGAAAAGCCAGUCAAAUAUUUGAGUGUUGAGUUCAUUUCUUAAUUCAUUGAAAAUGCAUUCAGGGAGGAAGAAUUUAAUGGUAUCUGAGGAAAAGACACACAGGAGGCAAUGGUACACAGUGGAACGUGUAACCAGGCCACUUUGAACUUGAAGUCUAGUGAAGUUCUCCAGUGACAAAUACUUGACUAAUGUGGAAAUAUAGUCUCAUUUACGCCAAAGACAGAAAGAAAAAUGUCAGACAGUCUCUUCCUAAAGGCCACAGAUGCAACUCCACCUCUUUGUAGCCUGUGAUAAAUAAACAUGUUUGUAUGAGCACGCAUUGGUAUAACAAAGCUUUAGUUCUGGAGCUCUCUCUAGGGCAUCUCUGCAUCCGUGGCUGCCCAGGCAUCCUGCUACUUUGCAUCCAGGAAACCGCAGGCUCUUCCUUGGAGCUGAAAGCCCUAGUCUUCUUCAGAGGGAAAAAUACGUGUAUUGAAUCCAAAAAUGCGUUUAUCAC